Molecule: ribosomal RNA, 858 nt
Filed under: Triticum aestivum (bread wheat)
Lineage: Eukaryota; Viridiplantae; Streptophyta; Magnoliopsida; Poales; Poaceae
Description: partial small subunit ribosomal RNA
Source: RNAcentral
AUGUGUAUUCCUAAGAAGAGAGGAGGAAUGGGCUUCAGAUAUAUUCAAAGUUUUAACUUGGCUAAGCUAGCUAAGCAGUGUUGGUGGCUAAUUGAUAAUUAUGACUCUCUUUGCGGCAAGGUUUUGAGAUCAAAAUAUUAUCCAUCUGGUGAUUUGUUGAAUUGUGAGCUGAAAAAGGGUUCAUCUUAUGUGUGGCAAAGUAUUUGGGCAGGGAUACAAACCUUUAAGAAGGGUUGUAUAUGGAGAGUUGGAGAUGGUAAUAAAAUCAAUAUUUGGGAUGACUGCUGGAUCCCAAACAGUUCAUCCAGGAAGAUAGUUACUGUACGUGGUAACUGUGUGUUGAUGACGGUGAACGAACUCAUCAUCCUUAUAACAGGAGAGUGGGAUGAAAUACUUAUUCGAGAUAACUUCUGGCACAUUGACGCUGAAAGAAUCUUACAAAUUCCUAUAUUUAAACAUGAGACCGAAGAUUUUGUUGCAUGGCAUCUGACGAAAUCUGGAAUUUUCAAUGUUCGGUCUGCUUACUACAGGCAAUGGGAGGAAUACCAUGCGGCAGGUAAUGGUUACCCCUCGGGAAUUAGUGGAUUGUCAGUACAUCCUGUCUGGAAGCGACUUUGGAACCUGAAGGUACCAGCCAAGGUAAAUAUUUUCUUAUGGCGAUGCCUCCAUAAUGCGAUCCCAUGCUACUGUGUUCUUGCAAACAGACAUAUUUCUAACUCAAGACAAUGCCCAAUCUGCUCUACACACGCGGAGGAUGUGGCCCAUAUGCUAUUUUUCUGUGGACGUGCACAUGAGGUAUGGCGGUCACUGGGUGUGCGUGAGAUGAUAGUUGAAAUAGCUACUCCAGGAAAGUCAUGA